CUUUUAUGGAGAGUUUGAUCCUGGCUCAGGACGAACGCUGGCGGCGUGCCUAAUACAUGCAAGUCGAGCGGACUUGAUGGAGUGCUUGCACUCCUGAUAGUUAGCGGCGGACGGGUGAGUAACACGUAGGUAACCUGCCUGUAAGACUGGGAUAACAUUCGGAAACGAAUGCUAAUACCGGAUACGCGAGUUGGUCGCAUGGCCGACUCGGGAAAGACGGAGCAAUCUGUCACUUACAGAUGGACCUGCGGCGCAUUAGCUAGUUGGUGAGGUAACGGCUCACCAAGGCGACGAUGCGUAGCCGACCUGAGAGGGUGAUCGGCCACACUGGGAC
Molecule: ribosomal RNA, 334 nt
Filed under: Paenibacillus pinisoli
Lineage: Bacteria; Bacillati; Bacillota; Bacilli; Caryophanales; Paenibacillaceae
Description: bacterial SSU rRNA
Rfam family: Bacterial small subunit ribosomal RNA
Source: RNAcentral